This is a non-coding RNA of Pelobates cultripes (western spadefoot toad), 402 nucleotides long. The record is from the annotation of a GenBank genome assembly. Lineage: Eukaryota; Metazoa; Chordata; Amphibia; Anura; Pelobatidae.
GGGGGUCACAGCCAUGAGUGCUCCUAUCACACCUGGGGCAACUACUGCCUUCACUUUCCACAGCUCUUCUUUCAGUUGUUGGUAUUUGUCCACCUUCUCAUGUUCCUUCUUCCUGAUGUUAUAGUAACUGGAUAUUGACACAUACACCACCACUUCAGUGUUCCAUUCCUUGUCUACCACCACAAUGUCAGGUUGGUUGGCCAGUACUUUCUUUUCUUUCUGAAUCUGAAAGUCCCACAGGAUCUUAGCCCUGUCAUACUCAACUACCCAUUGGUUCAUUUCUCAUCUGGACCUAGACAGGUGCAGCCCAUAUUCUCUGCAGAUAUUUUGGUACACAAUACCACCAACUUGGUUGUGUCUCUCUGUGUAUGCUGUUCCUGCUAACAUCUUGCAUCCAGUUAC